GGCCCGGUAGCUCAGUUGGUAGAGCAGCGGCUUGAAACUCCGCGUGUCGGUGGUUCGAUUCCGCCCCAGGCCACCA
RNAcentral lists this transfer RNA (76 nucleotides) under Hydrogenophaga sp. SCN 70-13. RNAcentral's name for it is "tRNA-Phe". It matches the Rfam family "tRNA". From Rfam's summary of the family: Transfer RNA (tRNA) molecules are approximately 80 nucleotides in length. Their secondary structure includes four short double-helical elements and three loops (D, anti-codon, and T loops). Lineage: Bacteria; Pseudomonadati; Pseudomonadota; Betaproteobacteria; Burkholderiales; Comamonadaceae. The record is from RNAcentral.